Molecule: ribosomal RNA, 465 nt
Filed under: uncultured bacterium
Lineage: Bacteria
Description: partial 16S ribosomal RNA
Rfam family: Bacterial small subunit ribosomal RNA
Source: RNAcentral
GACGAACGCUGGCGGCGUGCUUAACACAUGCAAGUCGAACGGAAAGGCCCUGCUUGCCGGGUACUCGAGUGGCGAACGGGUGAGUAACACGUGGGUGAUCUGCCCUGCACUUCGGGAUAAGCCUGGGAAACUGGGUCUAAUACCGGAUAGGAGCCAUUUUUAGUGUGAUGGUUGGAAAGUUUUUUCGGUGUAGGAUGAGCUCGUGGCCUAUCAGCUUGUUGGUGGGGUAAUGGCCUACCAAGGCGGCGACGGGUAGCCGGCCUGAGAGGGUGGACGGCCACAUUGGGACUGAGAUACGGCCCAGACUCCUACGGGAGGCAGCAGUGGGGAAUAUUGCACAAUGGGCGCAAGCCUGAUGCAGCGACGCCGCGUGGGGGAUGGCGGCCUUCGGGUUGGAAACUCCUUUCGCUAGGGACGAAGCUUUUUGUGACGGUACCUAGAGAAGAAGCACCGGCUAACUACGUG